GCCGGGGCGUCCCCCGCGGGAGCCCGCAGCCACCCGGGACGCGCAUCCAGACGUGGCGCUUCGGACCGGGCACGCUGCGCCCGGGGGCUCGGCGGACCCCGCGUAGCCGCCGCUUCGGAGCUUGUGCGGCGCGGGCUGGCCAGCGGGGCGGCCAGGGCCCGGCCCGCCUCCCCAGCGCCCGCCCGGCUUCUCCCCCUGGCGGUGGGAGCCUCGGCGGCCGCUGGCGACACUAGGCGCACUGAAGCCCGAGCCGAGCCGAGCCCGAGCCGCCGCCGCCGCCGCCGCUGCUGCGCACCGCUCCCGGGCUCCCUCCCAGCGCGCCGGCCGGGGUGUGGGGGGCGGCGGGCCGGAGGGGCGAGGGCGGGCCAGGGGGCGCACACGGGGGUUGGCGCGGAAGACAGGACCCUCAGCCUCGAGGGAGCCCCUAGGUGACCAGGCAAAAUGGCAGUUCCUUCCAGCUGGUCCUCAGAUGGGCACAUCUAUUAGCCUCUGCUCUUGUAAGAAGUUAGCUGCAGAACCCACAUGUGAAUCCUUGUAGGACUCUGGAGAAGAUCAAAUGGGAGCUUAGAUGUGGAAGCUCUUUGGAAACCAAGAAACACUCUGAAAAUGAAAAGGGUGGAAGAGUAAACUGUUCCUGUUUCUCCAUCUUGACAGGAAGCAGAAGUUCUCCUUAGCUGAUUUUUCUUCUUGCCUUAUACUGGGUUCUUUAACACCAGAACAAAAAUAAAUAAAUAAAAGAAUCUUCCAGAAAUUCAUGAAGAGACUUCAGGUCAGGAAAGCCUGAACUUUCUCAUCCAACACCCGUUCAAGUCGGAGGAUGCUGAUUAAUUCAUGAUGGAAAGGUAUCAAUUUCACAGCCCAGACCUCUACAUUCUUGAAAUGCUCUUCUCAUGGGAGACAUUAAAUAAGCUUUGAAUUAACUAAAAAUAUCCAACCCGAGCAGGAUAAAACUGAUCAUCCUGAGGAUAUUGCCCUUGGAGUUAAUUUUUUGAGAGAAAUAAAACAAUAAACAUCAUAAGACACAAACCCCAAGCAACUGAUCUCACUGUUAAAAUCCAACCUGAGAACAAUGGAAUGGGAAGCUGCAUAAAACACCAGUGAGCUCUAUCCCAACAGCAGAUUGCGCUCUCUAGAAGAAAAUUCUGAGAAAAAAAUUCAUAUGCAAGAAAUUUACUGGGGAGUGCUCUCAGACUCUGAACUGUGAAGAAAAAGGAUUGGACAGGGCUAGUAGAAGUCUAUAUGUUGUGGUGGAAAACAACCUCAGCCCUAUAGUCCAACAUUUGCCUAUCAAAACUUGUCCUAUGAUUUACAAAACUAGAACCUCACUGCAUGUACCUCUGGAGUCCUGAGCCACAAAGUAAGAAACUCAGCUACCCUGAUGUUGCCAUGUUAAAGAGACUAUCUGGAAAAGCCACAAAAAGAUAGAGAAAGAUGCUAAAGGGGCCUCUGCUGUUCUGGCCCCCACCUAAUUGAGCCAUCAGACAGCAUGAACCAUCAGAUAUAUGAAUGAACAAGGCUUCAGGUGAUUCCAGUCCCACCUACAAUCUGAUUCAGCCAUAUAGAGACU
RNAcentral lists this long non-coding RNA (1567 nucleotides) under Homo sapiens (human). RNAcentral describes it as "PREDICTED lncRNA (TCONS_00182889)". Lineage: Eukaryota; Metazoa; Chordata; Mammalia; Primates; Hominidae. The record is from RNAcentral.